This 423-nucleotide ribosomal RNA is filed under the name Klebsiella pneumoniae. RNAcentral's name for it is "bacterial LSU rRNA". It matches the Rfam family "Bacterial large subunit ribosomal RNA", at positions 214 to 678 of the family's 2925-position model. Lineage: Bacteria; Pseudomonadati; Pseudomonadota; Gammaproteobacteria; Enterobacterales; Enterobacteriaceae. The record is from RNAcentral.
AGGAAAAGAAAUCAACCGAGAUUCCCCCAGUAGCGGCGAGCGAACGGGGAGCAGCCCAGAGUCUGAAUCAGCUUGUGUGUUAGUGGAACGGUCUGGAAAGUCCGACGGUACAGGGUGAUAGUCCCGUACACCAAAAAUGCACAGGCUGUGAACUCGAAGAGUAGGGCGGGACACGUGGUAUCCUGUCUGAAUAUGGGGGGACCAUCCUCCAAGGCUAAAUACUCCUGACUGACCGAUAGUGAACCAGUACCGUGAGGGAAAGGCGAAAAGAACCCCGGCGAGGGGAGUGAAAAAGAACCUGAAACCGUGUACGUACAAGCAGUGGGGAGCACCUUCGGGUGUGACUGCGUACCUUUUGUAUAAUGGGUCAGCGACUUAUAUUCUGUAGCAAGGUUAACCGUAUAGGGGAGCCGCAGGGAAACC